Eleginops maclovinus (Patagonian blennie) is the source of this 922-nucleotide long non-coding RNA. RefSeq lists it as uncharacterized. Lineage: Eukaryota; Metazoa; Chordata; Actinopteri; Perciformes; Eleginopidae. The transcript is spliced from 3 exons. The record is from RefSeq and is a predicted model, not a curated record.
AGUUAGUGUUUGCAUAAGCUCUUAUUCCUGACUGUGUUUCCCGAGUUCUCUAAGUUCCGAGUGCGUUCCCUGCCGUUCGCACAAGGGCUACGAUUGAGACAGGUGGAUAUGAUGACAGAUGACAUUGCCGGAAGCACAGCAACUUUGUCAAAGAUGUCCAAACUGUUGAGAGAUGUCUGUGUUGAGGCGAUAGAGAGAAUGAGAAGAAAAAUGGACAGAGAUUGGGUGGGCAGAGAGAAUUUGUGGUCAUCGAUGAAAGCCACUUCAGACACAAAAGAAAGUAUGGACGAGGGCGAAUAGCAGGUGCCUGGAACAGAAAGAACUGGGUGUUCGGGAUGCUUGGAGUCAAACGCAAAGGACAGAAGACACGGCCUGUUCUCCGUUUGGUGCAAAGACGGACCAGAGAUGAGCUGAUGCCACUGAUUGUCCACCAUGUCAGAACAGGGUCAUGUGUAUUAAGUGAUGAAUGGCGGGCCUAUCGCCAGAUACUCACUGCAUUUGGCUACAGGCAUUACACAGUGAACCACAGUCUAGAGUACGUCAAUGCAAACACGGGUUGCCACACCCAACAUAUUGAACGGGCCUGGAGGACUUAUAAAGAGACCAUCACAAGACUCCGGGGGAAUCGUACUGAAGAACUGCUCAGGGAUCACCUCUCGUUAAUUGAGUGGCAUGAAUGGCUGGAAAAGAAACAUCACAAUGGCCCCCCUGGUCGCUUACUCCAUGAUAUUGGAAAGACUUACAAAUAGAAAUGUUUCUUUUCAAGAAAUGAUGGGAUGUUAAAGCCAGGUAAAGCUGAAGGCAAACUAAUCGCUAUUGUUCUCUGUCUCUCACUCUCACACACACACGCGCACAUUUAUUAAAGGAGGGUUGUUAUUUGUGUCAAGACCUCAAUAUUUUUUACUUGUUUUUUAUUAUUUUU